GGUUGUGGACUGAAAGCUGGUAAAACUGUGUUCGAGCCUUGCUUAUCUCAAAAUCAGAUCAAUGAGAAGAUGAUUGAACAGAAAGCACGAGCGGUUUGCCCUUACUUUUUGAACUCAAGGAAUGGAGAAACUGAAAUGAAAAAAGGCAGGUCUGUAGAAUGUGUGAAGAAAAGAAAUGAUAAAAAAUUACGAACCAAAGUUCGAGUGGUUUCCCCUUACUUUGCUAACUUAAAAGUGGGAGAAGAAAUAAAGGUAGGUAAGGAUAGUUCAAACGCUUCGAAGAACUGUCUCAAUGGAAGAAAGGUUUCUCCCUACUUUCAGAAUGCAUAUCGUGAAAAGAAGAAGAGUACAAUAGGUUCAAAAAGACAGAAACCUUGUCUCUCUGCUUCCCAGAAAAGAGACGAGGCAUAUUUAAGGAGGAGUGAAGAUAACAUGUGGGUACCUCCUCGAUCCCAUUUUAAUCUCCUCCAAGAAAACCAUGCUCAUGAUCCUUGGAGGGUGUUGGUUAUUUGCAUGCUUUUGAAUUGCACCACCGGUGUGCAGGUUAGGAGAGUGGUAGACGAGUUUUUCACUCUGUGUCCAAAUGCUGUGGCAGCAACAGAGGUUGCUGUAGAGGAUAUAGAAAAGUUGCUG
RNAcentral lists this unclassified non-coding RNA (633 nucleotides) under Hevea brasiliensis (rubber tree). The record is from RNAcentral. Lineage: Eukaryota; Viridiplantae; Streptophyta; Magnoliopsida; Malpighiales; Euphorbiaceae.